Molecule: ribosomal RNA, 275 nt
Filed under: uncultured prokaryote
Description: partial 16S ribosomal RNA
Rfam family: Bacterial small subunit ribosomal RNA
Source: RNAcentral
UACGGAGGAUCCGAGCGUUAUCCGGAUUUAUUGGGUUUAAAGGGUGCGCAGGCGGGAGAUUAAGUCGGCGGUGAAAUUUUGCAGCUCAACUGUAAAAGUGCCUUCGAAACUGGUUUCCUUGAGUGUAGAUGAAGUAGGCGGAAUUUGUGGUGUAGCGGUGAAACGCAUAGAUAUCACGAGGAACUCCGAUUGCGCAGGCAGCUUACUAAACUACUACUGACGCUCAGGCACGAAGGCGUGGGGAUCAAACAGGAUUAGAUACCCCCGUAGUCCCU